ACUUGAAUAUUAGUAGUUAUGGGCUUUAAAUUCAAAGAAUUUGGCGGUAUUUUAGUCUUGUUAGAGGAACCUGUUCUGUAAAUGAUACAACACGAAAAAUCUUACUUACUUUUGUUUAACAGUUUGUAUACCGUCAUUAUUAGAUAACCUUUGUUGAGAAAGUUAUUGAAAUUUAAGAAGUUAGAAUAUAUUAGAUCAAGGUGCAGUUUAUAAGUAAGAAGAAAUGGGUUACAAUAAAAUUUAUUUAUACGUAUCAGUAAUUGAAUAGUUUCUGUGAAGGAGGAUUUAAUUGUAACAUACGAUUUAAUAAGUCAGUGUGAUAUGAGAACUAAAAUAUGUACAUAU
RNAcentral lists this ribosomal RNA (345 nucleotides) under Cherax sp. n. 2 RE-2014. Its description in RNAcentral is "partial 12S ribosomal RNA". The record is from RNAcentral. Lineage: Eukaryota; Metazoa; Arthropoda; Malacostraca; Decapoda; Parastacidae.